This 720-nucleotide ribosomal RNA is filed under the name Bacillus licheniformis. Its description in RNAcentral is "bacterial SSU rRNA". It matches the Rfam family "Bacterial small subunit ribosomal RNA", at positions 34 to 738 of the family's 1533-position model. Lineage: Bacteria; Bacillati; Bacillota; Bacilli; Caryophanales; Bacillaceae. The record is from RNAcentral.
CGCUGGCGGCGUGCCUAAUACAUGCAAGUCGAGCGGACCGACGGGAGCUUGCUCCCUUAGGUCAUCGGCGGACGGGUGAGUAACACGUGGGUAACCUGCCUGUAAGACUGGGAUAACUCCGGGAAACCGGGGCUAAUACCGGAUGCUUGAUUGAACCGCAUGGUUCAAUCAUAAAAGGUGGCUUUUAGCUACCACUUACAGAUGGACCCGCGGCGCAUUAGCUAGUUGGUGAGGUAACGGCUCACCAAGGCGACGAUGCGUAGCCGACCUGAGAGGGUGAUCGGCCACACUGGGACUGAGACACGGCCCAGACUCCUACGGGAGGCAGCAGUAGGGAAUCUUCCGCAAUGGACGAAAGUCUGACGGAGCAACGCCGCGUGAGUGAUGAAGGUUUUCGGAUCGUAAAACUCUGUUGUUAGGGAAGAACAAGUACCGUUCGAAUAGGGCGGCACCUUGACGGUACCUAACCAGAAAGCCACGGCUAACUACGUGCCAGCAGCCGCGGUAAUACGUAGGUGGCAAGCGUUGUCCGGAAUUAUUGGGCGUAAAGCGCGCGCAUGCGGUUUUCUAAGUCUGAUGUGAAAGCCCCCGGCUCAACCGGGGAGGGUCAUUGGGAAACUGGGGAACUUGAAUGCAAAAGAGGAGAGUGGAAUUUCACGUGUAGCGGUGAAUGCGAAAAGAUUAGGAGGAACCCCCUGGCGAAGCCACUCUCUGUCUGUA